RNAcentral lists this ribosomal RNA (252 nucleotides) under uncultured bacterium. Its description in RNAcentral is "partial 16S ribosomal RNA". It matches the Rfam family "Bacterial small subunit ribosomal RNA", at positions 524 to 776 of the family's 1533-position model. The record is from RNAcentral.
UACGUAGGGUGCGAGCGUUGUCCGGAAUUAUUGGGCGUAAAGAGCUCGUAGGCGGCUUGUCGCGUCGGAUGUGAAAGCCCGGGGCUUAACUCCGGGUCUGCAUUCGAUACGGGCAGGCUAGAGUUCGGUAGGGGAGAUCGGAAUUCCUGGUGUAGCGGUGAAAUGCGCAGAUAUCAGGAGGAACACCGGUGGCGAGGCGGAUCUCUGGGCCGAUACUGACGCUGAGGAGCGAAAGCGUGGGGAGCGAACAGG